Long non-coding RNA from Egretta garzetta (little egret), 1218 nucleotides. RefSeq lists it as uncharacterized. The transcript has 3 exons. The record is from RefSeq and is a predicted model, not a curated record. Lineage: Eukaryota; Metazoa; Chordata; Aves; Pelecaniformes; Ardeidae.
CAUGUAGAAAACUACAUUAUAAAUGGACUAUCCGUUUGGGGUUGAAAAAGCUGGUUUGUGGAAGUCUUGCUUUCUGGCUGCAGACCAUCCUGGGCUCAGUAACAAUGGAGACUGGGGCAAAACCCUCUGUGCAGUUUAUAGCCUUCCAGGAGAGCAUUAAGGGACUUCACAGAGAAGCAGCAGGAAGGAUCCAAGGUAGUGCCUGCUUGCCGUGAACAGGGGAAUGAACCGAGGGCAGUCUGCUCCUCCAUCCAUGAGGGCUGAUGGGAUGCCGGAUCCCUUUCCAGCAUUGGAAAUUGGACUUUCAUUGUCCAAGACAAUGAAAACAUCUGGGAAUGCCUGACCUGACACACUGAAUUUUUUGGAGAACUUGUCUAUAUUUGGAAGCACACUGAAAUGGCUGCUCUGGGAUCCUUCCUGUUGCAUUCAGGGAUGCAAGUAUUGACCCUGACGCAGGGGUCAUCCCAGUGAAGGUGGAUCAGGAGGGGAGCUCAGAAGCAUCCCCCAGGCUGUCUUCGCAGGUGCCGCGGGGAAGCACGUUUGCCAUGGAUGCCCAUGCAUCUCGGGCCCUGCUCUGCCCGUGCCGCGCCGCCUCUGCCCGGGCGGGAGCUGCCUGCAGCUUCUGCACCCAGAGCUGGGCAGGAGCAGCGGUCCCGGGCACGGAGCCGGCCGCUGCUGGCUGAGCCAGCCGAGGCUCUCCCUGGUUGUGCUCUCCGUAAGUCACUACAUUUAAAUGCUGUCAGAGCAGGGUGAACCACUUAAAACCAAUUAAGUACCUUAAUGAAUCUUUCCCUGAUGGGGUUUCCAUUACCUUAAGUAGAAGACAGUAUGGAGCAGGCGCACCAUUAGCCUAAAGGCUGUCGUUUAGACUCUUGCUAAUUGGAUCACGCAUUUGAAAAUUACUGUGCUCCUGUGGGAUGAAAUAUAUAUGUUUACUUAGAUAUCACUUACAGAUAUUUUCCAACUCAACCCGUACCUGUGUAAGGCUUGCUUUUUUCUGCUUAAAAACCUCUAAACCCCUCUUAACUGCUGCUAAUUUGCCCUGCUUGAGAUGAGCUAUAUAUCUGUAUGCAAAUAGAUUUUAGGUGAAUACAUACAUAGCUGAAAAAUGUUGGGGAAUACUUUUUUUAAGAGCCUAGUGUGGAAUCUGAAAAGCUAAGGUGGAUUUUAAGAUCAUUUUGAAAGAGGAUGAAUUUUAUAAGAGUUUUAGUAGAAUUG